GUUUUUGUAGUCCAACUGCUAGGAUAAUUGCCUUCCAAGCAAUAGACCAGGGUUCGACUCCCGGCAAACUAAUACA
Thalictrum thalictroides is the source of this 76-nucleotide non-coding RNA. NCBI's taxonomy places the organism in Eukaryota, Viridiplantae, Streptophyta, Magnoliopsida, Ranunculales, Ranunculaceae. The record is from the annotation of a GenBank genome assembly.